Molecule: long non-coding RNA, 509 nt
Organism: Lolium rigidum
Lineage: Eukaryota; Viridiplantae; Streptophyta; Magnoliopsida; Poales; Poaceae
Exons: 2
Source: RefSeq, a predicted model, not a curated record
CGAUGCUCCCCUCGGCUAGUCUCGCUCCCUCAUCGAUACCCCCUUCUGACCGAGCAUCCACCAAUCUGGCAUGGCCAAUCUUAUCCAGUAUUUAUAAAUAAUGAGGAUGCAGCCAGAGAUCUUAGCAGAAGGCCAGAGGUGGGCACAGCGGGUGUUCCAAGCUGGGCAUGGAGGGUGAGCCACCCUCCUCCUGCGCUACCCUUGCCACUCUUCUCGUCGUCAUCGUCCUCUGCAGCAUCAUCAGGAUUCUCCAAAACCGCCACCGCAACAGCUGCCCCAGCCACCCCAUCGGGCUCACUACGGUUCGACCCGAUGGCACCAUCAUCAUCGUCAAGCCACCAACAGCACAACCGUCGCUGAAAAUAAGCCAAACUGUAAAUUUCCGGGAAGCCGAUAUCUUUUUCCCUUCCGGCAUUUCAGCGUUUUCAGUCUUGUGCCGGUGUGGUUUCUUGUACUGGAUUCAUGACUGUAUUUUCCACGCUGCCCAAGUGAAAUGUUGCUUCUCAUCA